This 785-nucleotide long non-coding RNA is filed under the name Mytilus galloprovincialis (Mediterranean mussel). The record is from RNAcentral. Lineage: Eukaryota; Metazoa; Mollusca; Bivalvia; Mytilida; Mytilidae.
AAACUAUAGACCAUAGACAGUAUCCUACCAGAACCAACCAGGCAUUCUUGGAACUUGUAGCUGACAACGGGCUAGAACAAAUUGUGGACUUCCCAACACGAAAAGAGAAUACCCUAGAUUUAUUGCUUACAUCUCAUCCUUCAUUUAAAUUAAGAUGCAAACCAUUACCAUCAAUAGGAAACAGCGACCAUGACAUCGUCCUCCUAGAUAUGGCUUGUAAACCACUUAAACCUAAACCAGUCAGAAGAAAAAUAUUUCUAUGGAAAAAAGCGGAAAUACAUAAUAUAAAGGAAGAUCUACAAAACUUUAUAACUACCUUCAAAAACAUCAAAGAUAGAAGCGUUGAGUCUUUAUGGCAGGCAUUUAAAACAGCUGUACAAACCACCAUAGAGAAAAGAGUACCAACGAAAAUGACCCUUGGAAGAAACACUCAUCCAUGGAUCAAUACAACCAUUAGACGCAAAAUAAACCAAAAGCAGAAAGCACACAAGAAGGCGAGAAAAACUAAAAAGAAAAGAGACAAGGAUAGGUAUAAAAGACUACAACAAGAAGUGCAGUGGGAGGUCCGUCAAGCCAACAAGAAGUAUAUGGAAGAGGUCAGUUCAGACUAUAGAGAUAAUGCAAAAGAAAUUCUGGUCUUAUAUCAAGAGCAAAGGUCAGGAAUGGACAGGAGUGGCACCGCUAAAAAACAAAAUGGGAUUUCUGCAAAGUGAUAACAAGAGUAAAGCUGACAUUUUAAACGACCAAUUCCAGUCAGUAUUUACCAAAGAAAACCUAAAUAACUU